AUAGAAAUAUUUCCUCAGGAAUAAAUUUCUGUUAGAAGCAGAAAAGAAUAUUUCUUUCUAUA
Molecule: transfer RNA, 62 nt
Filed under: Liposcelis paeta
Lineage: Eukaryota; Metazoa; Arthropoda; Insecta; Psocodea; Liposcelididae
Description: tRNA-Ser
Source: RNAcentral